This 397-nucleotide ribosomal RNA is filed under the name uncultured bacterium. Its description in RNAcentral is "partial 16S ribosomal RNA". It matches the Rfam family "Bacterial small subunit ribosomal RNA", at positions 523 to 918 of the family's 1533-position model. The record is from RNAcentral.
AUACGUAGGGGGCAAGCGUUAUCCGGAUUUACUGGGUGUAAAGGGAGCGUAGACGGCAAAGUAAGUCUGAAGUGAAAGCCCCGGGCUCAACCCGGGAACUGCUUUGGAAACUAUUUAGCUAGAGUGCAGGAGAGGUAAGUGGAAUUCCUAGUGUAGCGGUGAAAUGCGUAGAUAUUAGGAGGAACACCGGCGGCUAAGGGGAAAAACCGGAAUUUAACAAGAGUCAAAGGUCGACAGGGUGGGGCGAAAAGAGAAGUCGAUUCGGUGAUACUGCACGCCGUAAACGCUGAAUACUAGGUGUAGGGGGUAUCGACUCCCUCUGUGCCGCAGUUAACACAAUAAGUAUUCCGCCUGGGGAGUACGGACGCAAGGUUGAAACUUAAAGGAAUUGACGGGG